UAGUCUGGUGCCAGCAGCCGCGGUAAUUCCAGCUCCAAUAGCGUAUAUUAAAGUUGUNGCAGUUAAAACGNUCGUAGUCGGAUUUCGGGGCAGGUUUGCCGGUCUGCCGAUGGGUAUGCACUGGUAGAACUGUCCUUCCUUCCGGAGACGGCGCCUACUCUUAACUGAGCGGGUGUCGGAGACGGAUCGUUUACUUUGAAAAAAUCAGAGUGUUUCAAGCAGGCAGCUCGCUUUUGCAUGGAUUAGCAUGGGAUAAUGAAAUAGGACUUUGGUGCUAUUUUGUUGGUUUCGAACACCGAAGUAAUGAUUAACAGGGACAGUCAGGGGCACUCGUAUUCCGCCGAGAGAGGUGAAAUUCUUAGACCAGCGGAAGACGAACCACUGCGAAAGCAUUUGCCAGGGAUGUUUUCACUGAUCAAGAACGAAAGUUAGGGGAUCGAAGACGAUCAGAUACCGUCGUAGUCUUAACCAUAAACCAUGCCGACUAGGGAUUGGAGGAUGUUCCUAUGUGACUCCUUCAGCACCUUUCGGGAAACUAAAGUCUUUGGGUUCCGGGGGGAGUAUGGUCGCAAGGCUGAAACUUAAAGGAAUUGACGGAAGGGCACCACCAGGAGUGGAGCCUGCGGCUUAAUUUGACUCAACACGGGGAAACUUACCAGGUCCAGACAUUGUGAGGAUUGACAGAUUGAGAGCUCUUUUUUGAUUCGAUGGGUGGUGGUGCAUGGCCGUUCUU
Molecule: ribosomal RNA, 733 nt
Filed under: uncultured eukaryote
Lineage: Eukaryota
Description: SSU rRNA
Rfam family: Eukaryotic small subunit ribosomal RNA
Source: RNAcentral